AGCUAUUUAACUAAAUAAAGAUAAUAUCUUGAAAAUAUUACAUAGAACAUAAAUAUUCUAAUAGCUU
Molecule: transfer RNA, 67 nt
Filed under: Pseudotibiozus cerasopus
Lineage: Eukaryota; Metazoa; Arthropoda; Diplopoda; Spirostreptida; Spirostreptidae
Description: tRNA-Ser
Source: RNAcentral